This 885-nucleotide ribosomal RNA is filed under the name Pintalia sp. 1 PCC-2008. RNAcentral's name for it is "eukaryotic LSU rRNA". It matches the Rfam family "Eukaryotic large subunit ribosomal RNA", at positions 1282 to 1903 of the family's 3401-position model. Lineage: Eukaryota; Metazoa; Arthropoda; Insecta; Hemiptera; Cixiidae. The record is from RNAcentral.
GGUACAACUCACCUGCCGAAGCAACUAGCCNUGAAAAUGGAUGGCGCUCUAGCGUCGUGCCUAUACCGGGCCGUCAACGGCGAAGUGGGCAACUGCCGCAAGGCAAGUGCCGUUAUGCCUUGACGAGUAGGAGGGUCGCGGCGGUGUGCGCAGAAGGGUCGGGGCGUGAGCCCGCCUGGAGCCGCCGUCGGCGCAGAUCUUGGUGGUAGUAGCAAAUACUCUAGCGAGGGCCUGGAGGACUGACGUGGAGAAGGGUUUCUUGUGAACAGCCGUUGCACAAGAGUCAGUCGACCCUAAGCCCUAGGAGAAAUCCGAUGUUGAUGGGUGGCUAUACAAAAUACCACGUUCUGUUUGUUGCGAAAGCCACCAGGUACUGAAAGUUCAGCCUCUGCGGGCGAGGACUUCGGUUUUGGGAGGCACAGCGUUUCAACCUGAGGAAGGCUACAGCAUGCGAAAACCCGGUACUUCGGUGCCCGUGGCGCUGCUUGUUUUGCUAGCUGCCCUUAGUCUUGAACAAAGUCGUGACAACUGCUCCUGUCGGGCAAAAGGGAAUCCGGUUCCUAUUCCGGAACCCGGCUGCGGAACCGUCACUCUGCGGGCACUCGCCUGCGAGCGCUCGUCGGGGUAACCCAAACUGGCCCGGAGACGCCGGCGGGGGGUCUGGAAAGAGUUUUCUUUUCUUUAUAAGCGUUCGAGUACCCUGGAAUCCUAUAGCAGGGAGAUAGGGUUUGGAACGCGAAGAGCACCGCAGUUGCGGCGGUGUCUGGACCUUCCCCCCGGACCUUGAAAAUCCGGGUGAGGGCUACGCGGAAGUCGCGCCGGAUCGUACCCAUAUCCGCAGCNGGUCUCCANGGUUAAGAGCCUCUAGUCGAUAGAAUAAUGUAG